GGGCAGCAGUAGGGAAUCUUGCGCAAUGGGCGAAAGCCUGACGCAGCCAUGCCGCGUGAAUGAUGAAGGUCUUAGGAUUGUAAAAUUCUUUCACCGGGGAAGAUAAUGACGGUACCCGGAGAAGAAGCCCCGGCUAACUUCGUGCCAGCAGCCGCGGUAAUACGAAGGGGGCUAGCGUUGCUCGGAAUUACUGGGCGUAAAGGGCGCGUAGGCGGAUAGUUUAGUCAGAGGUAAAAGCCCAGGGCUCAACCUUGGAACUGCCUUUGAUACUGGCUAUCUUGAGUUCGGGAGAGGUGAGUGGAAUGCCGAGUGUAGAGGUGAAAUUCGUAGAUAUUCGGCGGAACACCAGUGGCGAAGGCGACUCACUGGCCCGAUACUGACGCUGAGGCGCGAAAGCGUGGGGAGCAAACAGGAUUAGAUACCCCAGUAGUC
Molecule: ribosomal RNA, 432 nt
Filed under: uncultured Phenylobacterium sp.
Lineage: Bacteria; Pseudomonadati; Pseudomonadota; Alphaproteobacteria; Caulobacterales; Caulobacteraceae
Description: bacterial SSU rRNA
Rfam family: Bacterial small subunit ribosomal RNA
Source: RNAcentral